GGCCCCUUCGUCUAGUGGCCAAGGACGUCGGGUUCUCAGCUCGAAGACAGGGGUUCGACUCCCCUAGGGGCUACCA
This 76-nucleotide transfer RNA is filed under the name bacterium. Its description in RNAcentral is "tRNA-Glu". It matches the Rfam family "tRNA". Rfam says of the family: Transfer RNA (tRNA) molecules are approximately 80 nucleotides in length. Their secondary structure includes four short double-helical elements and three loops (D, anti-codon, and T loops). RNAcentral also lists the same sequence under 1 other name. The record is from RNAcentral.